UACAAUGAUGUCCGCCCGGGUACUACGAGCAUCAGCUUAAAACCCAAAGACCUGACGGUGCCUUAGACCCCCCUAGAGGAGCCUGUUCUAGAACCGAUAAUCCCCGUUAAACCUCACCAUUUCUGGCCCAUCCAGCCUAUAUACCGCCGUCGCCAGCUUACCCUGUGAAGGAAUAAAAGUAAGCAAAAAGAGUACUACUCAAAACGUCAGGUCGAGGUGUAGCGAACGAAAUGGGAAGAAAUGGGCUACAUUUUCUAUAAUAGAAUAUCACGAACACGCAAUAUGAAACUAAUGCUUGAAGGAGGAUUUAGUAGUAAAAAGGAAAUAGAGUGUCCUUUUGAACCCGGCCCUGAGGCGCGUACACACCGC
This 369-nucleotide ribosomal RNA is filed under the name Rasbora daniconius (slender rasbora). RNAcentral's name for it is "partial small subunit ribosomal RNA". Lineage: Eukaryota; Metazoa; Chordata; Actinopteri; Cypriniformes; Danionidae. The record is from RNAcentral.